RNAcentral lists this ribosomal RNA (457 nucleotides) under Capnocytophaga sputigena. RNAcentral's name for it is "bacterial SSU rRNA". It matches the Rfam family "Bacterial small subunit ribosomal RNA", at positions 28 to 486 of the family's 1533-position model. Lineage: Bacteria; Pseudomonadati; Bacteroidota; Flavobacteriia; Flavobacteriales; Flavobacteriaceae. The record is from RNAcentral.
GAUGAACGCUAGCGGCAGGCCUAACACAUGCAAGUCGAGGGAGAGGUUACCUUCGGGUAACCAAAACCGGCGCACGGGUGCGUAACGCGUAUACAAUCUGCCUUUCACAUAGGGAUAGCCCGAAGAAAUUUGGAUUAAUACCUAAUGGUAUAUAGGAGCGGCAUCGUUUUUAUAUUAAAGCUACGGUGGUGAAAGAUGAGUAUGCGUUCUAUUAGCUAGUUGGAGAGGUAACGGCUCCCCAAGGCGACGAUAGAUAGGGGUUCUGAGAGGGAUGUCCCCCACACUGGUACUGAGAUACGGACCAGACUCCUACGGGAGGCAGCAGUGAGGAAUAUUGGACAAUGGUCGGAAGACUGAUCCAGCCAUGCCGCGUGCAGGAUGAAGGUCCUAUGGAUUGUAAACUGCUUUUGUAAGGGAAGAAUAAGGAGUACGUGUACUUUGAUGACGGACCUACGAA